ACCACAUCACUGCCCCUCCCAAUUCAGCAGUGUGUCUGGAUACAGCCAAAGAGCGGUCCCACGGUUCAGCGAUACCUCUCCUCCAGGCUCUUUGGGAACGCCGGGAGGUACUCUUCCCCAGGGAUGGAAGUAGGAGACCCUCCUGCUUGACCAAGAAGGCCUGGACAAACAUCACAGAGGAGGUAUAAUUGUUUAAGUACUGAUGAUGGUUUAAGAGUGGAACCGACUUGGAGAUGCUACAAUGUGUGACAGAGUGAGGAAACUAAAUUGAACCAACAAUCAUGGCCUUGAUUUCUCUCUUGGCGGUAACUAAAGCAGAGUUACUGUGAAUAAAAUGGAAAAAGCAUCAAAUGGCGAAA
This is a long non-coding RNA of Carcharodon carcharias (great white shark), 359 nucleotides long. RefSeq lists it as uncharacterized. The transcript is spliced from 2 exons. The record is from RefSeq and is a predicted model, not a curated record. Lineage: Eukaryota; Metazoa; Chordata; Chondrichthyes; Lamniformes; Lamnidae.